UAGGGAAUAUUAGAAAUGGACGAAAGUCUGAUCUAGCAACACCGCGUGUGCGAAGAAGGCCUUCGGGUCGUAAAGCACUUUUUGGAAGGAAUAGGAAGGAAUGUACUUCCAGAAUAAGUCUCGGCUAACUACGUGCCAGCAGCCGCGGUAACACGUAGGAGGCAAACGUUAUCCGGAUUUACUGGGCGUAAAGCGCGUGUAGGUGGUACUGUAAGUAGGGCGUGAAAGCUCCUGGCUCAACUGGGAGAGGCCGUUCUAAACUACAGAACUAGAGGAUGGUGGAGGGAGGUGGAUUUCCAGGUGUGGCGGUGGAAUGCGCAGAUAUCUGGAGGACCACCGGUGGCGAAGCCGGCCUCCUGGACCAUUCCUGACAC
RNAcentral lists this ribosomal RNA (374 nucleotides) under uncultured bacterium. Its description in RNAcentral is "bacterial SSU rRNA". It matches the Rfam family "Bacterial small subunit ribosomal RNA", at positions 355 to 746 of the family's 1533-position model. The record is from RNAcentral.